This 595-nucleotide long non-coding RNA is filed under the name Androctonus crassicauda. The record is from RNAcentral. Lineage: Eukaryota; Metazoa; Arthropoda; Arachnida; Scorpiones; Buthidae.
GUUAUAUUUUGUGUUGUCUUGCCAUCAUGUAUUACUAUUAAUUACCAUUUAAAUUUAUAUUUAUGAGCAAAAUAUUUUAAUUUUUUGAAUUUUAAAUGCAUAUUUUGUUCUGUGGGAGUGGCCAAAUUGAGUUUCCACUUCUGACAUCAAUGUAAUUUGUAGAAUUUGCAAGCUUCACUUAACUGGAAUUAACUGACAAAAUUUGAGGAUACCAUGAUAAAGUAAUGAUCAGAAGUUCUGAGUGAAGGGAUUAACAAUACAACUAAAAUGAAACUAAACUGUUUAUUUUAAAAAGAUGAAUACAACACAUUUACAGCAGCAUGCUUUAGAAUUUGAUGUAAGUGAGAAUUUAGACAAUUAUUCAAAAAGAGGACUACUUGAUAAGUCUGAAAACAUACUUAUAAAGAGAGUUUAUAUGGCCUUUAAUAUAUUUAAACAUAAUUUGCUCUUGAGACCAUACCACAUUUUGAGACAGACUCUUCCUAAAACUACAUUGUUUUCAACUUAGUCAUUCACCCACUUCACUAGCUUGGAUUCUAAUAGCAGUAUGGAUUGAUAGUAAAUUCUUUUCACUCACAGCCAACCAUUAAUUAAC